GACGAACGCUGGCGGCGUGCUUAACACAUGCAAGUCGAACGGAAAGGCCCCUUUGGGGGUACUCGAGUGGCGAACGGGUGAGUAACACGUGAGUAACCUGCCCUUGACUUCGGGAUAACUUCAGGAAACUGGGGCUAAUACCGGAUAGGAAUCCUUGCUGCAUGGGGGGGGUUGGAAAGCUUCGGCGGUUUUGGAUGGACUCGCGGCUUAUCAGCUUGUUGGUGGGGUAGUGGCUUACCAAGGCUUUGACGGGUAGCCGGCCUGAGAGGGCGACCGGCCACAUUGGGACUGAGAGACGGCCCAGACUCCUACGGGAGGCAGCAGUGGGGAAUAUUGCACAAUGGGCGGAAGCCUGAUGCAGCAACGCCGCGUGCGGGAUGACGGCCUUCGGGUUGUAAACCGCUUUCAGCAGGGGCGAAGCUUGUGGUGACGGUACCUGCAGAAGAAGCACCGGCUAACUACGUG
This 465-nucleotide ribosomal RNA is filed under the name uncultured bacterium. RNAcentral describes it as "partial 16S ribosomal RNA". It matches the Rfam family "Bacterial small subunit ribosomal RNA", at positions 28 to 507 of the family's 1533-position model. The record is from RNAcentral.